Molecule: non-coding RNA, 533 nt
Organism: Petromyzon marinus (sea lamprey)
Lineage: Eukaryota; Metazoa; Chordata; Hyperoartia; Petromyzontiformes; Petromyzontidae
Source: RefSeq, a predicted model, not a curated record
CGCUCGCCUGCGUGCUGUCUGUCUGGCACCGACCGGCGGUGUGCGCUGGCUAAGGGCGUCACGUCACGAGCGAGUCGUUCAGCGAGCUCACGGCGUGCGAAUUUUAAAGAAAUGUCAAAGCGUCGGUGCAUGCAACCUACGCCCAUCCCCGCCACCCACCACACCUGAUGAUUAAUAUCGCGUGAACCGAACUCCGCGAGUGCGCGCGUCCGCCCGCCGGCCGGCUUGCCAUGCCUCAAUUAUUAACCACACUGGGGCUCAUCAAAGUGCCCACCGACAUCGCCACCACGGCCGCCACGGAAGCCCCCCCCCCCACUGCCCUCCUGAAUGGACCGAGUUGGAGGCCUGCAAAGAACGCGAAUAAUCAGUCACCGCGCAGUCCUCCUUCCUUCUGCUGUACCCGGUGCAGGGGAGGUUGAGCGAUCGUGGAGCGGUUCGCGCGGUGCUACGGGCAACGAACCCGGAUAGCCCCGAGUUGGACAUUCCCGCUCACGGAGGCUCGUGAAGGACGCUACUGGGCAGUUGGAGGCAGU